AACAGACGCUGGCGGCGUGCUUACACAUGCAGUCGAACGAGAACGGGUAUUAGCUUGCUAGUACUGUCAGCUAAGUGGCGCACGGGUGAGUAAUAUAUAGGUAAUGUGCCUUGAAGAAGGGGAUAACAGUUGGAAACGACUGCUAAUACCCUAUAUGCCUUUAAUACAUAAGUAUGCAAGGGAAAUAUUUAUAGCUUCAAGAUCGGCCUGUACAGUAUCAGCUAGUUGGUGAGGUAAUGGCUCACCAACGGCAAUGACGCUUAACUGGUUUGAGAGGAUGAUCAGUCACACUGGAACUGAGAACACGGUCCAGACUCCUACGGGAGGCAGCACGCUGGGGAAUAUUGCACCAUGGGGGGAAACCCCUGAUGCAGCAACGCCCGCGUGAGGAUGACACAAUUUCGGGAGCGUAAAACCUCCCUUUUAUUAUAGGGAAGGAAUAAUGACGGGUACUAUAUUGAAUUAACCCGCGGGUAAACUCCCGAGCCCCACAACCCCGGGGAAAUGCGGACGGCGCCAAAGCGUUAACUCGCG
Molecule: ribosomal RNA, 534 nt
Filed under: uncultured Campylobacterota bacterium
Lineage: Bacteria; Pseudomonadati; Campylobacterota
Description: bacterial SSU rRNA
Rfam family: Bacterial small subunit ribosomal RNA
Source: RNAcentral